Molecule: ribosomal RNA, 669 nt
Filed under: Escherichia coli
Lineage: Bacteria; Pseudomonadati; Pseudomonadota; Gammaproteobacteria; Enterobacterales; Enterobacteriaceae
Description: bacterial SSU rRNA
Rfam family: Bacterial small subunit ribosomal RNA
Source: RNAcentral
ACCUAAACAAAACCAAAAAACCUAACACAUGCAAGUCGAACGGUAACAGGGAAGGCAGCUUGCUGCUUCGCUGACGAGUGGCGGACGGGUGAGUAAUGUCUGGGAAACUGCCUGAUGGAGGGGGAUAACUACUGGAAACGGUAGCUAAUACCGCAUAACGUCGCAAGACCAAAGAGGGGGACCUUCGGGCCUCUUGCCAUCGGAUGUGCCCAGAUGGGAUUAGCUUGUUGGUGGGGUAACGGCUCACCUAGGCGACGAUCCCUAGCUGGUCUGAGAGGAUGACCAGCCACACUGGAACUGAGACACGGUCCAGACUCCUACGGGAGGCAGCAGUGGGGAAUAUUGCACAAUGGGCGCAAGCCUGAUGCAGCCAUGCCGCGUGUAUGAAGAAGGCCUUCGGGUUGUAAAGUACUUUCAGCGGGGAGGAAGGGAGUAAAGUUAAUACCUUUGCUCAUUGACGUUACCCGCAGAAGAAGCACCGGCUAACUCCGUGCCAGCAGCCGCGGUAAUACGGAGGGUGCAAGCGUUAAUCGGAAUUACUGGGCGUAAAGCGCACGCAGGCGGUUUGUUAAGUCAGAUGUGAAAUCCCCGGGCUCAACCUGGGAACUGCAUCUGAUACUGGCAAGCUUGAGUCUCGUAGAGGGGGGUAGAACUCCAUGUGUAGCGGUG